RNAcentral lists this ribosomal RNA (422 nucleotides) under Scopulariopsis sp. Its description in RNAcentral is "partial large subunit ribosomal RNA". It matches the Rfam family "Eukaryotic large subunit ribosomal RNA", at positions 107 to 534 of the family's 3401-position model. Lineage: Eukaryota; Fungi; Ascomycota; Sordariomycetes; Microascales; Microascaceae. The record is from RNAcentral.
GCUCAAAUUUGAAAUCUGGUCCCCUUUGGGGGCCCGAGUUGUAAUUUGAAGAGGAUGCUUUUGGCGAGGCGCCGUCCGAGUUCCCUGGAACGGGACGCCGCAGAGGGUGAGAGCCCCGUACGGUCGGACGCCGAGCCUCUGUAAAGCUCCUUCGACGAGUCGAGUAGUUUGGGAAUGCUGCUCAAAAUGGGAGGUAAACCCCUUCUAAAGCUAAAUACUGGCCAGAGACCGAUAGCGCACAAGUAGAGUGAUCGAAAGAUGAAAAGCACUUUGAAAAGAGAGUUAAAAAGCACGUGAAAUUGUUAAAAGGGAAGCGCUUGCGACCAGACUUGCGCCCGUCGGAUCAACCGUCGCUUGCGGCGGCGCACUCCGGCGGGCUCAGGCCAGCAUCAGUUCGUCCGGGGGGAGAAAGGCGGCGGGAA